This 405-nucleotide long non-coding RNA is filed under the name Bos taurus (domestic cattle). RNAcentral's name for it is "long non-coding RNA NONBTAT011601". The record is from RNAcentral. Lineage: Eukaryota; Metazoa; Chordata; Mammalia; Artiodactyla; Bovidae.
UGGUUCCUUCUGACUCUGUUACACUAGGAGCCUAUUAAAGUCCCAUUAAAGUGGUUAAAGGACACCAGAGAACUUAGAGAUUUGUGUCAUCUUUCUAAAAUUUUCCUGAAAAAUGAAGUUACUCCUGAAGAAAAUUAGUUAAGAAGAGAGUCUAGGAAGUUUGUACCUCAAGAGAAGUUUUUCUAUAUAACUUGAGAAGUUUGAGUUAACCUCAUGUGACACAACCCCAAAUUAAUGUUUGUUUUCUUGAAAUUUUAUUAACUUUGUUAAUUAUAUGAGGGAUUUUAUGAGGAAUUCUUAAGAUUUCUCCAGGCAUCAGAAUUUCUUAACCCAGUCCUGUUUCCAAGGCAGAUGAAGGAGAUAUGAACAAAUAUGGUGAGGAUUCUCAAUUUCCAUAUCUAAUAA